AGCAGCCGCGGUAAUUCCAGCUCCAAUAGCGUAUAUUAAAGUUGUUGCAGUUAAAAAGCUCGUAGUUGAAUUUCGGGGUUAGCAGGUCGGUCGUGCCAUCGGUAUGAACUGGUCUCGCUGAUCCCUCCCUCUUGACGAACUGUGAUGCCAUUAAUUUGGUGUCGCAGGGAAUCAGGACUGUUACUUUGAAAAAAUUAGAGUGUUUAAAGCAGGCUCACGCUUGAAUACAUUAGCAUGGAAUAAUGAAAUAGGACGUUUGAUCCUAUUUUGUUGGCUUCUAGGAUUGACGUAAUGAUUAAUAGGGAUAGUUGGGGGCAUUAGUAUUCAAUUGUCAGAGGUGAAAUUCUUGGAUUUAUUGAAGACUAACUACUGCGAAAGCAUUUGCCAAGGAUGUUUUCAUUAAUCAAGAACGAAAGUUAGGGGAUCGAAGACGAUCAGAUACCGUCGUAGUCUUAACCAUAAACUAUGCCGACUAGGGACCGGAUGAUGUUAAUUUUUUAAUGACUCAUUCGGCGCCUUA
RNAcentral lists this unclassified non-coding RNA (520 nucleotides) under uncultured Glomus. RNAcentral describes it as "SSU rRNA". It matches the Rfam family "Eukaryotic small subunit ribosomal RNA", at positions 569 to 1090 of the family's 1831-position model. Lineage: Eukaryota; Fungi; Glomeromycota; Glomeromycetes; Glomerales; Glomeraceae. The record is from RNAcentral.